AGACCCCCGAGGAAGAGGAGGAGAUCGAGAAUCCCUACCUGAGCCCCGAGGAGCGGGCGGCCAUGGGGACCCUGCGCGGGGAGCCCAGGGACAGCGCGGGGGGCCAGGCGUGGGUGGAGGGGGGCUCACUCCUGGGGACGCUGGGAGAUGAAAAAGCCAAACUGGUGGCCGGGGGCCCGGCUGAGCAGAGUGGGCUGUUCCGAGGGAACGUCCUCAAGGGCAUGGCGCUGCUCUCGCACUUUUUGGAGCAGCGGGCAGCUGGAGCUGAUGAGGGCAAGCCCUACUCCCGCCUGGACAACAGUGUCCUCUACAGCCGCUUCGUGUCCCCCAGCGCCGCCCUGCUCGAGCUGCCCGACGGCGACGGGGCCGCAGACUCACCCUGCCUCAGGGACCACAACGGGCUGGGCUCUGGUGGCCAUUCUGGCCCCGAGAUGGCCAUGCUGGAAGCUCUGAGUUCUGGCUCUGUCCCUCCCAUCACCGAGGAGCCAGAGAGCACCGUGACCCUGAGCCUGGACCGUGUCCUGGUGAGUGAAUCCUGCACGGCGCCCUGGGAAGUGCUCUCCUUCCCCGGGAGUGUGGGAAGCGGGUGGGGGCUGAACCCUGUUGCUUCCUGCCCUCUUCCCAACACUUGGCUUGUGCUUCUCGUCAGAGAGGCCAUGGGGUGAAAGUGCAGGUACUGGGAAAAGUGAUGGGAGGGCACUGGGAUGAGUCAUGAGAGGAUACUGGGAUGGGUGAUGGGAGGAUACUGGGAUGGGAGGACACUGGGAUGGGUGGUGGGAGGAUACUGGGAUGGUGGAUACGAGGUCAAGUGAUGGGAGGGUAGGAGGAUACUGGGAUGGGAGGACACUGGGAUGGGUGGUGGGAGGAUACUGGGAUGGUGGAUACGAGGUCAAGUGAUGGGAGGGUACCACCACGGCUGCUGGGAGGGUCCCGGGCAGGUGGCAGGAGGGUCGGGGGCAGACGGGAGGCUGAUCCGCAGCAGAGCAGGAAUGCUCGAGGUGUGGCUGCUCGGGGCGGUGGGAGGGCCGGGCAGACGCCCAGACGCGAGGCUGCGAUGGCUGCUGCAUCCCGUGUCCCUCCGUGCUCCUCACCCGCCCGUCCCCUUUCCUCUUCACAGCAGGAGGAUAAGGAGGGCUUGGAGAAGAUCAACACAAGACCUGGCAAGGUACAGGGAGGGCGGCGGGGCCGGGCUGGGCUGGCUGGCGGUGUGGCAGCACUUCCUUCCGUGUCACCCCUUCCCAGAUCAUCCUGUACUCCGACGCCGGCUUCGCGGGGCAGAAACGGGAGAUCUGGGACGAUGUCCCCGACGCCACGUCCUGGGAGCUGUCUCACACCAUCUCCAUCCGAGUCAUCCGAGGCGGGUGGGUGAUGUACGAGAAGCCGCGGUUCCGCGGGCGCAAGUGCGUCCUGGCCGAGGGGGACGUGGAGAUCGACAACCCCUGGGCGGCGUACGGGGACAGCAAGGGGGACAGCGAAGGGGACAGCGGGCAGCGCCGCGGCAGCCGCCCGUUCCGCAUCGGCUCCUUCAAGCGGGUGGUGCGGGUGAGUGCAGCGACCCCCGAGCCCCCCGGCGCCCCCCGGCGCCCCCCGGGCGCAGCGGGCGGAGCCCCGAACGCCGCUGUUGCCGCAGGAUUACCGCACCCCCGAGAUCAGCCUGUUCGCCCAGGAGAACGGCGAGGGCGCCCGGCUCCGGUUCA
This 1697-nucleotide long non-coding RNA is filed under the name Ficedula albicollis (Collared flycatcher). RNAcentral's name for it is "lncRNA (ENSFALG00000024918.1)". Lineage: Eukaryota; Metazoa; Chordata; Aves; Passeriformes; Muscicapidae. The record is from RNAcentral.